RNAcentral lists this ribosomal RNA (759 nucleotides) under uncultured Eikenella sp. RNAcentral describes it as "bacterial SSU rRNA". It matches the Rfam family "Bacterial small subunit ribosomal RNA", at positions 28 to 776 of the family's 1533-position model. Lineage: Bacteria; Pseudomonadati; Pseudomonadota; Betaproteobacteria; Neisseriales; Neisseriaceae. The record is from RNAcentral.
AUUGAACGCUGGCGGCAUGCUUUACACAUGCAAGUCGAACGGCAGCGGGGUAGUGCUUGCACUACUGCCGGCGAGUGGCGAACGGGUGAGUAAUAUAUCGGAACGUACCGAGUAAUGGGGGAUAACCAAUCGAAAGAUUGGCUAAUACCGCAUACGUCCUAAGGGAGAAAGCGGGGGAUCGCAAGACCUCGCGUUAUUCGAGCGGCCGAUAACUGACUAGCUAGUUGGUGGGGUAAAGGCCUACCAAGGCGACGAUCAGUAGCGGGUCUGAGAGGACGAUCCGCCACACUGGGACUGAGACACGGCCCAGACUCCUACGGGAGGCAGCAGUGGGGAAUUUUGGACAAUGGGGGCAACCCUGAUCCAGCCAUGCCGCGUGUAUGAAGAAGGCCUUCGGGUUGUAAAGUACUUUUGUUAGGGAAGAAAAGGGAAGUGCUAAUACCACUUUUUGCUGACGGUACCUAAAGAAUAAGCACCGGCUAACUACGUGCCAGCAGCCGCGGUAAUACGUAGGGUGCGAGCGUUAAUCGGAAUUACUGGGCGUAAAGCGAGCGCAGACGGUUACUUAAGCAGGAUGUGAAAUCCCCGGGCUUAACCUGGGAACUGCGUUCUGAACUGGGUAGCUAGAGUAUGUCAGAGGGGGGUAGAAUUCCACGUGUAGCAGUGAAAUGCGUAGAGAUGUGGAGGAAUACCGAUGGCGAAGGCAGCCCCCUGGGAUGAUACUGACGUUCAUGCUCGAAAGCGUGGGUAGCAAACAGG